Molecule: microRNA precursor, 136 nt
Filed under: Hordeum vulgare
Lineage: Eukaryota; Viridiplantae; Streptophyta; Magnoliopsida; Poales; Poaceae
Description: microRNA MIR1122
Rfam family: MIR1120/MIR1122 microRNA precursor family
Source: RNAcentral
GAUGUACUCCCUCCGUCCCAAAAUUCUUGUCUUGGAUUUGUCUAGAUAUGAAUGUAUCUUGUCACGUUUUAGUAUUUUGAUACAUCCAUUUUUAGACAAAUCUAAGACAAGAAUUUUGGAACGGAGGGAGUAUUUG